This 109-nucleotide ribosomal RNA is filed under the name Callithrix jacchus (white-tufted-ear marmoset). Lineage: Eukaryota; Metazoa; Chordata; Mammalia; Primates; Cebidae. The record is from RNAcentral.
GUCUACAGCCAUACCACCCUGAACGCAGCCAAUCUUGUCAGCUCUGCAGGGUCGGGCCUAGUUAGUACUCGGAUGGGAGACUGCUUGGGAAUAGCGGGUGCUGUAGACU